Molecule: ribosomal RNA, 248 nt
Filed under: uncultured bacterium
Lineage: Bacteria
Description: partial 16S ribosomal RNA
Rfam family: Bacterial small subunit ribosomal RNA
Source: RNAcentral
UACGGAGGGUGCAAGCGUUGUCCGGAUUUAUUGGGUUUAAAGGGUGCGUAGGUGGCCCUGCAAGUCCGUGGUGAAAGCCUGCCGCUUAACGGCAGAACUGCCAUGGAUACUACAGGGCUUGAGUCCAGACGAGGUUGGCGGAAUGGAUGGUGUAGCGGUGAAAUGCAUAGAUACCAUCCAGAACCCCCGAUUGCGUAGGCAGCUGACUAGGCUGGUACUGACACUGAGGCACGAAAAGCGUUGGGGGA